This 916-nucleotide ribosomal RNA is filed under the name uncultured bacterium. RNAcentral's name for it is "bacterial SSU rRNA". It matches the Rfam family "Bacterial small subunit ribosomal RNA", at positions 516 to 1427 of the family's 1533-position model. The record is from RNAcentral.
CGCGGUAAUACGUAGGGGUGCGAGCGUUAAUCGGAAUUACUGGGCGUAAAGCGUGCGCAGGCGGCUUUAUAAAGCCAGAUGUGAAAUCCCCCGGGCUUAACCUGGGAACUGCAUUUGGAACUGUAAGGCUAGAGUGUAGCAGAGGGGGGUAGAAUUCCACGUGUAGCAGUGAAAUGCGUAGAUAUGUGGAGGAAUACCGAUGGCGAAGGCAGCCCCCUGGGCUAACACUGACGCUCAUGCACGAAAGCGUGGGGAGCAAACAGGAUUAGAUACCCCGGUAGUCCACGCCCUAAACGAUGUCAACUAGGUGUUGGGGAAGGAGACUUCUUUAGUACCGCAGCUAACGCGUGAAGUUGACCGCCUGGGGAGUACAGUCGCAAGAUUAAAACUCAAAGGAAUUGACGGGGACCCGCACAAGCGGUGGAUUAUGUGGAUUAAUUCGAUGCAACGCGAAAAACCUUACCUACCCUUGACAUGCCAGGAACUUUCCAGAGAUGGAUUGGUGCCCGAAAGGGAACCUGGACACAGGUGCUGCAUGGCUGUCGUCAGCUCGUGUCGUGAGAUGUUGGGUUAAGUCCCGCAACGAGCGCAACCCUUAUCAUUAAUUGCCAUCAUUCAGUUGGGCACUUUAAUGAGACUGCCGGUGAUAAACCGGAGGAAGGUGGGGAUGACGUCAAGUCCUCAUGGCCCUUAUGGGUAGGGCUUCACACGUAAUACAAUGGUCGGUACAGAGGGUUGCCAACCCGCGAGGGGGAGCCAAUCCCAGAAAGCCGAUCGUAGUCCGGAUCGUAGCCUGCAACUCGACUACGUGAAGUCGGAAUCGCUAGUAAUCGCGGAUCAGCAUGUCGCGGUGAAUACGUUCCCGGGUCUUGUACACACCGCCCGCCACACCAUGGGAGUGGAAUCUGGCAGAAGU